RNAcentral lists this ribosomal RNA (837 nucleotides) under Bacillus sp. EGU716. RNAcentral's name for it is "bacterial SSU rRNA". It matches the Rfam family "Bacterial small subunit ribosomal RNA", at positions 56 to 874 of the family's 1533-position model. The record is from RNAcentral. Lineage: Bacteria; Bacillati; Bacillota; Bacilli; Caryophanales; Bacillaceae.
AGCAAGUCGAGCGGACAGAUGGGAGCUUGCUCCCUGAUGUUAGCGGCGGACGGGUGAGUAACACGUGGGUAACCUGCCUGUAAGACUGGGAUAACUCCGGGAAACCGGGGCUAAUACCGGAUGGUUGUUUGAACCGCAUGGUUCAAACAUAAAAGGUGGCUUCGGCUACCACUUACAGAUGGACCCGCGGCGCAUUAGCUAGUUGGUGAGGUAACGGCUCACCAAGGCAACGAUGCGUAGCCGACCUGAGAGGGUGAUCGGCCACACUGGGACUGAGACACGGCCCAGACUCCUACGGGAGGCAGCAGUAGGGAAUCUUCCGCAAUGGACGAAAGUCUGACGGAGCAACGCCGCGUGAGUGAUGAAGGUUUUCGGAUCGUAAAGCUCUGUUGUUAGGGAAGAACAAGUACCGUUCGAAUAGGGCGGUACCUUGACGGUACCUAACCAGAAAGCCACGGCUAACUACGUGCCAGCAGCCGCGGUAAUACGUAGGUGGCAAGCGUUGUCCGGAAUUAUUGGGCGUAAAGGGCUCGCAGGCGGUUUCUUAAGUCUGAUGUGAAAGCCCCCGGCUCAACCGGGGAGGGUCAUUGGAAACUGGGGAACUUGAGUGCAGAAGAGGAGAGUGGAAUUCCACGUGUAGCGGUGAAAUGCGUAGAGAUGUGGAGGAACACCAGUGGCGAAGGCGACUCUCUGGUCUGUAACUGACGCUGAGGAGCGAAAGCGUGGGGAGCGAACAGGAUUAGAUACCCUGGUAGUCCACGCCGUAAACGAUGAGUGCUAAGUGUUAGGGGGUUUCCGCCCCUUAGUGCUGCAGCUAACGCAUUAAGCACUCCGCCU